RNAcentral lists this ribosomal RNA (412 nucleotides) under uncultured bacterium. Its description in RNAcentral is "bacterial SSU rRNA". It matches the Rfam family "Bacterial small subunit ribosomal RNA", at positions 917 to 1333 of the family's 1533-position model. The record is from RNAcentral.
GGGCCCGCACAAGCGGUGGAGCAUGUGGUUUAAUUCGAUGAUACGCGAGGAACCUUACCAGGGCUUAAAUGCAGAACGACCGGGGUGGAAACACCCCUUUCUUCGGACGGUCUGCAAGGUGCUGCAUGGUUGUCGUCAGCUCGUGCUGUGAAGUGUCGGGUUAAGUCCCAUAACGAGCGCAACCCCUAUUUCUAGUUGCCAGCGGUUCGGCCGGGGACUCUAGAGAAACUGCCAGCGUAAGCUGUGAGGAAGGUGGGGAUGACGUCAAAUCAUCACGGCCCUUACGUCCUGGGCCACACACGUGCUACAAUGGUGGGGACAACGAGUCGCUAACCCGCGAGGGUAAGCUAAUCUUCAAACCCCAUCUCAGUUCGGAUCGGAGUCUGCAACUCGACUCCGUGAAGUUGGAAUC